UGGAAAGAAAGAACUGACUCCUUCAGGUUGU
RNAcentral lists this non-coding RNA (31 nucleotides) under Rattus norvegicus (Norway rat). The record is from RNAcentral. Lineage: Eukaryota; Metazoa; Chordata; Mammalia; Rodentia; Muridae.